CACGGAGCAAAGCUUCCUCGCUCGGGCAUCUCCAAGGUUUCCGCCUGGGAGCGCAUCCACGGCACUGUCAACUUCGGCACGGCAUCGCGAAAGACAGACACCAGCCACCCGCGACAGGAGACACUGGCGCCGGAGAACAUGCUGGCGUACUUUGUGCCGCGCAGUUAAACAGCAAAAGGCACUGAAUGAAGAGCGCGCGCACACCCGAGCGACGGAGCAAAACAAGGACGAGCGCAGAGGCUUCGGGAACACUUCAGGAGGAGCACCUGGCUAUACUCAAAAGAUCUCAUUAGACUGUGAUGAGCGUCAUCAUCUUCCACAGACUCAAGGUUGGAUUUUUUUUUUUUCUAUCUCAUUUUGCAUCACGCUGUUGUGCAUGCUAACUUCAUUUUCCUUAUUUUUCGCCU
This is a long non-coding RNA of Ictalurus punctatus (channel catfish), 407 nucleotides long. The record is from Ensembl. NCBI's taxonomy places the organism in Eukaryota, Metazoa, Chordata, Actinopteri, Siluriformes, Ictaluridae.